RNAcentral lists this long non-coding RNA (207 nucleotides) under Elaeis guineensis (African oil palm). RNAcentral's name for it is "long non-coding RNA (EGUI_LNC046833)". The record is from RNAcentral. Lineage: Eukaryota; Viridiplantae; Streptophyta; Magnoliopsida; Arecales; Arecaceae.
AUGCCCCCUUAUAACAUCCAAAUUAUAAUUUUUGAUGUACGAAGUCAUAAUUUAACCGUAGGAUAUUAUGAUAUGACCACAUGAUGCUAUAAUUUUUUAGAAGUGGAGGGAUAUUUUUAUCAUUCAAAAUUUAAAAUGAAAAAGCAGAACUGCAGAUAUUAAAUGUACGUUGGUAAGCGGUGGCUACAUAGCCCAAUCAGAUAGGAC